This 166-nucleotide ribosomal RNA is filed under the name uncultured bacterium. Its description in RNAcentral is "partial 16S ribosomal RNA". It matches the Rfam family "Bacterial small subunit ribosomal RNA", at positions 349 to 507 of the family's 1533-position model. The record is from RNAcentral.
CAGCAGAGGGGAAUUUUGGACAAUGGGCGCAAGCCUGAUCCAGCCAUGCCGCGUGAGUGAAGAAGGCCUUCGGGUUGUAAAGCUCUUUCGCAAGGGAAGAAAACUUACCUUCUAAUAAAGGGUGAGGCUGACGGUACCUUGAUAAGAAGCACCGGCUAACUACGUG